AAGGAUCAUUAACACGUUUUAUCACAAAACAAACCAAACUCUGUGAACUGAGGUGAGCUGAAAGGCUUGCCGAACUUUAUUUAACCGAUAUAGCCUUGUCAAGGAGCUAACCUGUUUAGCACCUUUUCAGGUAUAACUGUUAUUUUCUCUUUUAUGUGCAUCUGCUGGCACCGAUACGUGUCGCAGAGUCACUUAAAACAAACUCGAACAACUCUUAGCAACGGAUAUCUUGGUUCCC
RNAcentral lists this unclassified non-coding RNA (238 nucleotides) under uncultured fungus. RNAcentral describes it as "partial contains 18S rRNA, ITS1, 5.8S rRNA, ITS2 and 28S rRNA". The record is from RNAcentral. Lineage: Eukaryota; Fungi.